This 648-nucleotide ribosomal RNA is filed under the name Moesziomyces rugulosus. RNAcentral's name for it is "LSU rRNA". It matches the Rfam family "Eukaryotic large subunit ribosomal RNA", at positions 38 to 667 of the family's 3401-position model. RNAcentral also lists the same sequence under 1 other name. The record is from RNAcentral. Lineage: Eukaryota; Fungi; Basidiomycota; Ustilaginomycetes; Ustilaginales; Ustilaginaceae.
GCAUAUCAAUAAGCGGAGGAAAAGAAACUAACAAGGAUUCCCCUAGUAACGGCGAGUGAAGAGGGAAGAGCCCAAGAUUGAAAGCUGGCGUCUUCGGCGUCCGCAUUGUAAUCUCAAGAAGUGUUUUCCGCUUCGGACCAAGCCUAAGUCCCUUGGAAAAGGGCAUCAUAGAGGGUGAUAAUCCCGUACAUGGCUUGGAGCGCCCGAAGCUUUGUGAUACGCUUUCUAAGAGUCGAGUUGUUUGGGAAUGCAGCUCAAAAUGGGUGGUAAAUGCCAUCUAAGGCUAAAUAUUGGGGAGAGACCGAUAGCGAACAAGUACAGUGAUGGAAAGAUGAAAAGAACUUUGAAAAGAGAGUUAAACAGUACGUGAAAUUGCCAAAAGGGAAGGGUAGGAGGUCAGAGAUGCGGCCUGGGAUUCAGCCUUGCUUUUGCUUGGUGUUUUUCCCAGAUUGCAGGCCAACGUCGGUUUUGGGCACUGGAGAAGGGUAGGAGGAACGUGGCACCUCUCGGGGUGUGUUAUAGCCUCCUACUGGAUACAGCGACCGAGACCGAGGACAGCAGCGUACUCGCAAGAGCGGGCCUUCGGGCACCUUUACGCUUAGGGCGUUGGCAUAAUGGCCCUCUACCACCCGUCUUGAAACACGGACC